GACGAACGCUGGCGGCGUGCUUAACACAUGCAAGUCGUACGGUAAGGCCCUUUCGGGGGUACACGAGUGGCGAACGGGUGAGUAACACGUGAGUAACCUGCCCACAACUUUGGGAUAACGCUAGGAAACUGGUGCUAAUACUGGAUAUGUGCUCCUGCUGCAUGGUGGGGGUUGGAAAGCUCCGGCGGUUGUGGAUGGACUCGCGGCCUAUCAGCUUGUUGGUGGGGUAGUGGCCUACCAAGGCGGCGACGGGUAGCCAGCCUGAGAGGGUGACCGGCCACAUUGGGACUGAGAUACGGCCCAGACUCCUACGGGAGGCAGCAGUGGGGAAUAUUGCACAAUGGGCGCAAGCCUGAUGCAGCAACGCCGCGUGCGGGAUGACGGCCUUCGGGUUGUAAACCGCUUUCAGCAGGGACGAAGCUUUUUGUGACGGUACCUGCAGAAGAAGCACCGGCUAACUACGUG
Molecule: ribosomal RNA, 465 nt
Filed under: uncultured bacterium
Lineage: Bacteria
Description: partial 16S ribosomal RNA
Rfam family: Bacterial small subunit ribosomal RNA
Source: RNAcentral